GCUUUUUAAAAUUAAUCAGCCUCAUCAAGUCGAUAGAGUUCCCGUCUCUAUCGCAAGACCAGGCUUAGGGU
RNAcentral lists this unclassified non-coding RNA (71 nucleotides) under Caenorhabditis elegans. RNAcentral's name for it is "comCe3 C/D snoRNA". The record is from RNAcentral. Lineage: Eukaryota; Metazoa; Nematoda; Chromadorea; Rhabditida; Rhabditidae.